This 335-nucleotide unclassified non-coding RNA is filed under the name soil metagenome. RNAcentral's name for it is "partial contains 5.8S ribosomal RNA, internal transcribed spacer 2, and large subunit ribosomal RNA". The stretch from base 1 to 120 matches the Rfam family "5.8S ribosomal RNA", at positions 35 to 154 of the family's 154-position model. The record is from RNAcentral.
GAUGAAGAACGCAGCGAAAUGUGAUAAGUAGUGUGAAUUGCAGAAUUCAGUGAAUCAUCGAAUCUUUGAACGCACAUUGCGCCCCUUGGUAUUCCAUGGGGCAUGCCUGUUCGAGCGUCAUUUGUACCUUCAAGCUUUGCUUGGUGUUGGGUGUUUGUCUCGCCUUUGCGUGUAGACUCGCCUUAAAAUAAUUGGCAGCCGGCGUAUUGAUUUCGGAGCGCAGUACAUCUCGCGCUUUGCACUCAUAACGACAGCGUCCAAAAGUACAUUUUACACUCUUGACCUCGGAUCAGGUAGGGAUACCCGCUGAACUUAAGCAUAUCAAUAAGCGGAGA